CCUACGGGGGACAGCAGUGAGGAAUAUUGGUCAAUGGACGGAAGUCUGAACCAGCCAUGCCGCGUGCAGGAAGACGGCUCUAUGAGUUGUAAACUGCUUUUGUACAAGGGUAAACCUGAAUACGUGUAUUCAGCUGAAAGUACUGUACGAAUAAGGAUCGGCUAACUCCGUGCCAGCAGCCGCGGUAAUACGGAGGAUCCAAGCGUUCUCCGGAUUUAUUGGGUUUAAAGGGUGCGUAGGCGGAUUGAUAAGUUAGAGGUGAAAUGUCCGAGCUCAACUCGGGAACUGCCUCUAAUACUGUUGGUCUAGAGAGUAGAUGCGGUAGGCGGAAUGUAUGGUGUAGCGGUGAAAUGCUUAGAGAUCAUACAGAACACCGAUUGCGAAGGCAGCUUACCAAUCUAUAUCUGACGUUGAGGCACGAAAGCGUGGGGAGCAAACAGGAUUAGAUACCCUGGUAGUC
RNAcentral lists this ribosomal RNA (460 nucleotides) under uncultured bacterium. RNAcentral describes it as "partial 16S ribosomal RNA". It matches the Rfam family "Bacterial small subunit ribosomal RNA", at positions 338 to 795 of the family's 1533-position model. The record is from RNAcentral.